Molecule: ribosomal RNA, 247 nt
Filed under: Acropyga fuhrmanni
Lineage: Eukaryota; Metazoa; Arthropoda; Insecta; Hymenoptera; Formicidae
Description: partial large subunit ribosomal RNA
Source: RNAcentral
GAAUUUAAUAUAAAUUUUUAAUUUACAAUUAAAAGUUUAUAUUUAAAAAUUUAUAUUUUGUUGGGGGGAUAAUAAAAUUUAUUAAACUUUUUAUUUAUAGAAAGGUUUUGUGGAUUGGAGAAAAAUAUUUUAGUAACAUAGAUUAAUGAAUUAAAGAAUGAUAUAUAGUUUUAUUUUGUUAGUAUUAAUUACCUUAGGGAUAACAGCGUAAUAAUUUUUAAAAGAUCUUAUUGAAAAUAAUGAUUGC